RNAcentral lists this ribosomal RNA (429 nucleotides) under uncultured bacterium. RNAcentral's name for it is "partial 16S ribosomal RNA". It matches the Rfam family "Bacterial small subunit ribosomal RNA", at positions 338 to 795 of the family's 1533-position model. The record is from RNAcentral.
CCUACGGGGGGCUGCAGUAACGAAUAUUCCGCAAUGCGCGAAAGCGUGACGGAGCAAUGCCGCGUGGAGGAUGAAGCCCUUCGGGGUGUAAACUCCUGUCAGGAUUAAAAGCACGUCCAAAGGAAGAGGCGGCUAACUCUGUGCCAGCAGCCGCGGUAAUACAGAGGCCUCGAGCGUUAAUCGGAGUCACUGGGCUUAAAGGGUGCGUAGGCGGUUCUUCAAGUGUCUUGUGAAAUCCCACAGCUCAACUGUGGAAUUGCUCGAUAGACUGGAGAACUUGAGGUUGGUAGAGGUUACUGGAACUCUAGGUGGAGCGGUGAAAUGCCUAGAUAUCUAGAGGAACACCGAACGUGAAGACAGGUAACUGGGCAAUCUGACGCUGAGGCACGAAAGCGUGGGGAGCAAACGGGAUUAGAUACCCCAGUAGUC